Molecule: long non-coding RNA, 1229 nt
Filed under: Macaca mulatta (Rhesus monkey)
Lineage: Eukaryota; Metazoa; Chordata; Mammalia; Primates; Cercopithecidae
Description: lncRNA (ENSMMUG00000064958.1)
Source: RNAcentral
ACUCACGCGGGAUGCGCAGGGCGCCGACAAGCAGGCGUCCACACUGGGUCUGCAGGGAUGCGUGGGCAGGCCUGGUGGUUGUAGGUCUGCAGGAGUUCGUGGAUAUGCGUGUGCGCGAUCCCGCGUGGAAGGCACGGUGGACAUGCGUGUGCACGAUCCCGCGUGAAAUGCACGCUCAACAGGAAGACCCUCCCGUCUCGGCCUCGGUUUCUCUGGCUGUGAAAUGGAAGGAUAGUUUCUUAGGGUAUAUGGGCAUCACCUCCCCACCUGUGCCGUGCUAAUCCCACCAACUCUGGCUGUUUCUGGAGCUUCCUGCAGGCAAUGGUCUAAGCCCUAGGAGAACUCAAAUGAUGGAAAAUCGCAAGUGGGGUGUAGGACUCCUCACAUUCCUGUGAACCCCUUCAGGCAUGGAAGGACGGACACCUCAGGAGAGGAUGGCUGGGGUGGAUAGCACAGGUAGAGGCUUGAGGGGAAGAGAGGGGAAAUUUGCGUGUCCAAAAUGCUGGCCGGGGGCAGUGGCUGACGCCUGUUAUCCCAGCACUUUGGGAGGCAGAGGUUGCAGUGAACCGAGAUCGCAGCACUGCACUCCAGCCUGGGCGACAGAGCAAGACUCCAUCUCAAAAAAAAAAAAAAAAAAAAAAAAAAAAAGAAAGAAAGAAAGAAAAUAAAAGAGGCCAGACACAAUGGCUCACGCCUGUAAUCCCAGCACUUUGGGAGGCCGAGGCGGGCGGAUCACCUGAGGUCGAGAGUUCGAGACCAGCCUGACAAAUAUGGAGAAACCCCAUCUCUACUAAAAAUACAAAAUUAGCUGGGCGUGGUGGCACAUGCCUGUAAUCCCAGCUACUUGGGAGGCUGAGGCAGGAGAAUCGCUUGAACCCAGGAGGCGAAGGUUGCAGUGAGCCAAGAUCACACCAUUGCACUCCAACCUGGGCAACAAGAGCGAAACUCUGUCUUAAAAAAAAAGAAAGAAAGAAAAGAAAAAACAAAAUGUGUGUCUCUGCAUCAGCGCCUGUGUGUGUGCACCGGGCUCUGGCUUCUGGAGGUGAACAAAUCAAAGUGGACUCAGGUGUCUCCUGGACAUGAGUGUGUACUCGCAGGUGUGUGCAGGCGUGGGCUUCCUUCCACCCCUGUGGAUGUCUAGAAUGUUGGUUCCCAGGAUCUUUUUGUUGUUUGAAGAUGUGCAAAUGCCUGGUAUGCAGAAUAGAAACAUUCAGUACAUAUUUGCAAAA